AACGAACGCUGGCGGCAUGCCUAACACAUGCAAGUCGAACGAGACCUUCGGGUCUAGUGGCGCACGGGUGCGUAACGCGUGGGAACCUGCCCUUAGGUUCGGAAUAACUCCCCGAAAGGGGUGCUAAUACCGGAUAAUGUCUUCGGACCAAAGAUUUAUCGCCUUUGGAUGGGCCCGCGUUGGAUUAGCUAGUUGGUAGGGUAAAAGCCUACCAAGGCGACGAUCCAUAGCUGGUCUGAGAGGAUGAUCAGCCACACUGGGACUGAGACACGGCCCAGACUCCUACGGGAGGCAGCAGUGGGGAAUAUUGGACAAUGGGCGAAAGCCUGAUCCAGCAAUGCCGCGUGACUGAUGAAGGCCUUAGGGUUGUAAAGCUCUUUUACCCGGGAUGAUAAUGACAGUACCGGGAGAAUAAGCUCCGGCUAACUCCGUG
RNAcentral lists this ribosomal RNA (433 nucleotides) under uncultured bacterium. RNAcentral describes it as "partial 16S ribosomal RNA". It matches the Rfam family "Bacterial small subunit ribosomal RNA", at positions 29 to 507 of the family's 1533-position model. The record is from RNAcentral.